Molecule: long non-coding RNA, 803 nt
Filed under: Helianthus annuus (common sunflower)
Lineage: Eukaryota; Viridiplantae; Streptophyta; Magnoliopsida; Asterales; Asteraceae
Description: hypothetical non coding rna
Source: RNAcentral
CUCAAAACACACUCCUCUGGUCAUUCUAAAGGCUCUCAAGCAUUUCUCUGUAUACUCUAAGCAAGACCCAACUUCUGAGUUAUGCCAAAUGGCGCAAAUUUCGGAACUUUGGAGCCCAGUAAAAGUACUUGCGACUACUGAUUAGAAUAUACGGCUGAGUUAUUAUUCUUGCUAUUUAAGACAGGAGCUAGCUCAGGUGCUAUACGUAAUAGGCUGGCUACUCCAGGCAUCAUUAUUCAAGUCUUGCAAGCUUUAGAUGUCAAAGUCUGUUGAACAAUACUUUUCGAUAUUAUUAUUUGAUCCCCUGUGGAUACCUUUCGACUAUUUGUAAUACAUUUGAUAUUACGAACAAUAGUUGAAUAUAAUUAUCUUUAUGCUUCCGCUGUGCAUUAUUAUAUUGUGUGGUUUGACUAUGAUGUCUCCAACUAUGUCACGGUAAUCCCCACCGGGCCCACCGGUGAUACACGUGGAAAUCGGGGUGUGACAGCUAGCUACCGGCACAACGUGGGGAACGACCAGCACAAUUUAAACGCGUGCCAACACAAGUGGCGCGAGCUACGACCGAAGCUCGACCGUUUUAAAGCCUACUACGAUAGCGUCCUAGACGGUGAUAUAAGUCACGAAGAUAUUGUGGCGGUGGCCAACAUCGAGUUCCUGGGCAAGGAGUGGAAGCCGUUUGACAAGCUUGCCAUGUUCGAAAUCUACCUAACGCUUUAGGCUUUUUUUUAAAUUUUGUAAUCUCUUUUUUUUUAGAAUUUUGUAAUUUUUAGGAACUUUUAACAAUAUAUUUAGGCUUUUUUUUA